UGUGCACAUUCUGAUACUGAGCUCAGCAGAGGUACAAGAGAAAUAUACCGCCACGGCUUCCUUCAAAGAGCUCGCCGCAUGGCUGGGAAGCAGUAGCAGGGAGGCUUCGCUCAGUGCAGACGGCUCGAUGGGUCUUUUCAAUAUUCUGUCACAAGAUCACCAGUGAAUCUCUGCGGAACAAAAGAUUUCCUUCGCUUCUCGUCUCAGUGCAAGGUGACACCAUGGAAGGUCAGAGAGGUUAGGGAUCUAAUUGCCCAAGGGGCAAUGCCAGCAAGUGGAAACAGAGCCAGAACCUGAACCCACGUCUGCCUAACUCCAAAGACAGCUCUUUCUGUAUGGUGUCCUGCUUGAACUCAGAAUGGGUGCUUUUGGGGCUGUCUGAGAAACGGGAGUGAAGAAUCUCCCAGGCGGCUGGGAGGAGGGCAGGGCCUGGCUGGAGACCCCCAGAGCAGAGUACAGGGACCACGUGGAAAAAGGGAGAUGCAGAAUCAGAGCCCCAGAGCAGUGGGUCGUGGAGGUCGAGGGCCUGGGGCCUAAAAAGGAAGUCACAUUCUUUGAGCGUCGUGUGUCCCAGGCUCUGACGCAUGUGUUGAAGAAUGAAUCAUCAUUGUCCUGCAGACCAUCUAUGACAGAGGAGGUGAAGAUCAAGCCCUGGCCCAGUCACACGGGAGGCACUGUGGAGCUGUGGAGCCCGAAGCAGCAGACAGAGGGGUGAGGAGGGCCUGCGCCCUGUGGCAGGUGGGGGCCUCUAGGUGCCCCCUGCGGUGGGAAAGGCCCUGCCAAGAAGUCCUCGCUCUCCCUCCUGUCUAACAUCAGCCUGCUCCCAACGGCUGGCUCCCAUUCUCCUUCCUCCACAAAGCAAACUCCCAUCCCCAGUCGGGCAGGCCACCUGCUCUCUACACCCCAAGGCCACCUCGGCCUAUGUCGGGGUGAGCUUCCGCCCUCAAUGGGACCUAGAAGGCGCAAGAGAAGAGCAUGAGGUGGCAGCCAUGUGCUGGGGGCCUGGAUCCUGGGACCCAGAUGCUGGGUCAUAUGGGGCAGCUGUGAGGUCUGUACUGGGGUCUCAACCCUGCAUUCUAAGUGGGGUGAGGAGGGAUUUCCUUUAGAAUCCCCUCGGUGUCUCCCAAGGGUGUUUCUCUUGGUUAGUGGCAUCGAGUUUGGCUCCUGGCUCUUUACAGCAGGGUCACUCUGAGCAAGACAGGCUUUUUGCAGCAGAAAUGACUGCUGGCAUCGAACCCUCAAGAGGACAGGACCUGAGACGGGCCAUCCUUACUAUUGGGUUCACAGGCAGCGAGGGCCCAGUGCCCAGCUGGCAUUAGAAGAUGGGAGCUUUCCUUGGCAUGUGGUGGAGAAAGUCACAGGGCUGUGGCCAGUGCUCACCAGGAGUGAAGCCCCAUGAAGCCCUGGGUGUGGCUGGCUGCUUGCCAUGGGGUGAAGCAUGUGCGGGUUGUGGGGCAGCAGGUCCCAGUGUCAGUGGGGGUUUACAGAAGGAAAACCGCAGGCUCAAGGCAUAGAAACAGAACCAGCCAGAGAGCUUGUAGUCAGAGUCUCUGGACUGAUGCAACUUACAACCCGAGCCGAGUCUGGUUUCAACACAGGGCAAACUCACAGCCCCUCCAGGUCUCUGAUUGAAAUGCUAUGGCAUUGUUGGCAACCAGCCGGAGCCUUCGGAUUGUAUCCAGGACUUCGGGAAUGUUCACCUCACUGAUUCCCAACCCCCAAAGCCCACAGAGCUGCCUUUGCAAACGAAAGCAGCCCCUUCUUCCUGUCUGGUGAGCUGGAGACCUUGUGCACAGCGCACCCAUUGCCUUUAGACCUGUCACCCAGCAGGACGCAGGAGCCGGUAAGUACCCACUUUUGGAGACAGGAGGAGUAUGCCUCCCAAAAAGCAAUAUUUGCCAAUGUAUUUUGUCAAAAACUUGGGGAAUAUGUCAGGCACGGUGGCGCACACCUGUAAUCCCAGCACUUUGGGAAGCCAAGGGAGGUGGA
RNAcentral lists this long non-coding RNA (1989 nucleotides) under Homo sapiens (human). RNAcentral's name for it is "HSALNT0300467". The record is from RNAcentral. Lineage: Eukaryota; Metazoa; Chordata; Mammalia; Primates; Hominidae.